CAUGAUCAUAUAUUUUUGAUACUUUUUUCACUCUUGUUUAAUGCUUUAUUCAGCCAUGUUCCAGCCACCUGUAUGCAAAUUCAGACCAGACAAAUCAGUCAUUCCUAUUAUGAGCAACGAUCCACACCAUCGGGUACGAUGACACACAAUCAAUAAAGUCACCAAAUCUAACAACCAGGUCUAUUUAGUCGCCUGUUAUCACAAGAAUAGAUUGCUGGGGUCCUGUUCUAAACCAUAUUGCAACAAGGUAGACUAAAUGAUUAUUAUGUUAAAUAUAAUCAUAUGUGGUAUUCAAGCGCUUAAUUUGGUAGACACAAAUAUAUUUUUAUGGCUGUUGAAA
This is a long non-coding RNA of Haliotis rufescens (red abalone), 340 nucleotides long. RefSeq lists it as uncharacterized. The transcript has 2 exons. NCBI's taxonomy places the organism in Eukaryota, Metazoa, Mollusca, Gastropoda, Lepetellida, Haliotidae. The record is from RefSeq and is a predicted model, not a curated record.